Molecule: long non-coding RNA, 1428 nt
Filed under: Vulpes vulpes (red fox)
Lineage: Eukaryota; Metazoa; Chordata; Mammalia; Carnivora; Canidae
Description: lncRNA (ENSVVUG00000021370.1)
Source: RNAcentral
GUGCGGGAGACAGGAGGGCACUAGGCGACUCAGUCCUGAGUCUUGGCCCCCAGGCCACAGCCCGGGAGAGAGUGGCAGGGACCAGUCCCCGCCGCCCCGCGUGCGAGCCGUGGGCUCCGGGGUGCGGGGCCCAGGCCCCCUCGCGGGCGGGGAUCAAGAAUGCGGACCACCACCAAUUCGGCGCUCACUCAGGUUUUCCUUUUCAACCUUUGUGGGCAGAUACAUUGGCAAGUUCGGGAACUGGGGCUUGCGGCAGAAAGGGAACACGAAUUUUUUCAGCCUGCUGUAUGCCGGACCCUGAGCUUCACAACUAGCUGCUCCUCUCUUAGCAACGGGUACUAUCGCUCCCCGUAAACAGAAGCAGAAACUGGGGCCCUAAGGAGCCUUGGCAGCAACUUGCCAACGAUGUCUCGGCUACCGUGGGCCACCCGCAGAGCCUGGCUCUUUGGGAAGGAGAAAGCAAGUUCUCGCAAAGCCUCCCCGGGUUUGCUCCCCGGAGCCCUUCCAGUACACGCCUUGGGUAACAGUGCGGGGAGUGUGGGGGACACGGCAAAACCGGCCUCAGGGGCCCCCGUAUCUUAGAGCUGGCGGCGCACAGUCCGCGGCUUGAGGGUGGAAUUUUUGUUUCGUUUUGUUUUAAAGAAAGAAGAACUCGUUUGAAUAAUCAGAGCCCAAGCUGAGCUACCGGCUGGCUCCAAGUUUCUCGGAGUUGCCCUGCUGGUGAACUUUCCCCGACCGGCUCCCUCCCGGUCCGGGAGCCGCUUAUCUGGGUCCCCGAGCGCCAGCGGGCCGCGGCGGGGCUGGGGGACCAGCGCCCGGCCCCUCCGCCCCCUGGGGAAGCCGCGCUGGCUCCGCGCGCCCAGCGGACCGCCCGCCGCGCAGGCCUGUUCCCACCCUCGGACGGAGCGAGGGGCUUAAAACCCCAGCGGAGGCAAACGGUGGCUCUAGGCUCCAAAAGCCCAAGCGUGGAUUAUGCAGACAGGAGUGCAGAGCAGACAUCUGGUCAGCAGAGGGCACACUCGUCACUGUCAAACCUCAUUUCCAGAUUUGGAGGUGACAAUGGUAGGUGGGGGCAGGAAUGGUGGGCCGAGGCUCCUUUGAAUGGGGCUCCAAUGGAGAUCUAGAAAAGAAAUAGUCAUUUAUUGUCAGUAAACACCAAGAGAACAGGAGAGAACCUGUCACUAAGUUUUGCAACUAUAGAGUUUCUGAAAAGUAAUUGUAGCGCAGGACUGGAAAAACAGGCCUUUAAAAUCGUGACUUGAUGGGUAUGAGGUUGAGGUCAGAGUUUCCUCUGAAUGAAGACCCGAUGUUUGUUCUCUAUCCACGAUACCUAGAAACACCUAGGCCUUCGGAAAACCAGGAGGCAACUGGAAAUGCUGUAAAGAGCACUGGAUGUGACACUCUAAGCCCUUGGUUCUAGUACCUUCC